Molecule: unclassified non-coding RNA, 672 nt
Filed under: Bombus terrestris (buff-tailed bumblebee)
Lineage: Eukaryota; Metazoa; Arthropoda; Insecta; Hymenoptera; Apidae
Description: misc RNA ENSBTSG00005035349.1
Source: RNAcentral
CUUGUGGACUUAGGGUAGGUUCUCUCGCGAAUUCGACCACCGCUUGUAGUCCGACGCCGCUGGUGUUGUCCUCCGAGAUGUUGUUCCGGAGCCAGAGGCAGGUCAUCCACCUCUGGCCACGUCGCCGUUGCCUACUUUCAGCCUCCGGGUCCCCCAGUUGGCGUCCGAGCUUCGUCCAUCUGCAGGUUUCAUCGGGGGGAGGGGGGAGAACUCGCCGUUCGGGGGCACCAAUCCCUACAAGGCGCUCUUGCCCCCACCCAGCCGGAAACUCUCGUCGGCGUACCACGAUGUCGCCCACAGGUGAAACGGUUGUCCCCCAAACCGACUUCCCCACCCGAACAUCCUCCUGGUGGCCCGUACUGCUUCCUCCUGGUUUGGGGUGCCCUCUAGUCUCUCCUGGUCCUUGGUGGAAUCCGAAAAAACCGGAUUUGGUCACCGCAAUCCAAAGCGCCAACGUCAUCACGGAGCGGUCACCCAUCCCAGACCGCCCCGCAACCUGGGGUGCUUAACUUUCGUGAUCUAACGGGAACGAGUGUUUCACCCCAGCCAACGGACGUUGACAACCUAACCCCAACCUAACCCCAACCUAACCCCAACCUAACCCCAACCUAACCCCAACCUAACCCCAACCUAACCCCAACCUAACCCCAACCUAACCCCAACCUAACCCCA